GCGAAUAUUGGAAAGGCGAUUGAGAGUUGUGCGAAGUGCGAAGCGCAACCGAGAAACAUUUUCUGAGACAAGUUAUUGAAAGACAUUUAUAUGGCAGACGACAAGAAAAAACUAUUCGCUAAGCCCGCGGGCAUGUUGGCUUAUUCGUACUACUACGGCUAUCUGAAUCUGGUUCUAAAAAGUGAGUUUGAAUGCGUACAAGUUUUGCUCUAA
This is a long non-coding RNA of Priapulus caudatus, 213 nucleotides long. RefSeq lists it as uncharacterized. NCBI's taxonomy places the organism in Eukaryota, Metazoa, Priapulida, Priapulimorpha, Priapulimorphida, Priapulidae. The record is from RefSeq and is a predicted model, not a curated record. The transcript has 3 exons.